This 604-nucleotide long non-coding RNA is filed under the name Homo sapiens (human). RNAcentral's name for it is "HSALNT0318762". Lineage: Eukaryota; Metazoa; Chordata; Mammalia; Primates; Hominidae. The record is from RNAcentral.
GCCGCCACCUGCUUCCGUGAGCGCGGGGAGAAGCUGGGCACAGCUCGCUUUACUCCCAGUGGAGGGCGGGAAGGUACCAUAUGGUGCUGAUGUGUCGGAUGCCUCCAUGUGUUGAUUUCAAUCAUUCAACUGGACACAUGGUGAGAGGCUGAACAGACAUGCUUCCUUCCCUCAUGGAGUUUAUAUUGCAAUUGAAUCUGGUUCCGAGACCUUCUGAUUCUGAUUCAGCCUUCUAAGUUCAAACCAAAGCAGAGCAUUUUCAACUUCUUUAAUGAGAAGCAUGUUCAGCCAGCAAAGAAGAAGAAGAAAAAUGGUUAUAGACAAGCAACCAACAGUAUCUGCCAUAGCUAUUUUAUAGCUGUUUAAACUUGGCUGGGGGUGAAAGAUGCCCUUCAGUGUCCCAAAUGAGAGAAGAGAAUUUUAAUUGGGAGUGGCCAAGGUUCACAAUUUCAGCCUGGAGGAAAGUAAAUUAAAGAGGGAAAUUUGGAUACACAAAGAGAUGCCAGGGAUUAACCUACCCAGAGGAAAGGCCACGUGAGGACACAGCAAGAAGGUGGCCGUCUGCAAGCCGAGAGAGGCCUCAGAAGAAGCCAAACCUGCUGAU